Long non-coding RNA from Bos taurus (domestic cattle), 4017 nucleotides. The record is from Ensembl. Lineage: Eukaryota; Metazoa; Chordata; Mammalia; Artiodactyla; Bovidae.
AUCGGAGAAGGAAAUGGCAGCCCACUCCAGUGUUCUUGCCUGGAGAAUCCCAGGGACCCGGGAGCCUGAUGGGCUGUCAUCUAUGGGUUUGCACAGAGUCGGACACGACUGAAGCGACUUAGCAGCAGCAGCAGCAGCAGUUAUAAAUUGGGCCUUAACUUCUGUCAAGUUUAUUGUGAUUUUAUGUAAUAUAUUAAUCUUAAUUUAAAAAUUAAAUGCUUCUCUGAUUAAUAUGAGUAAUGUAAAAUUUUAUUUAGAAAAGAGUUCUGAUGGAAAAGUAAUUAGUUAGAAGUAUUUAUGAGAUUAAAGGAGAAAAAUUUAAAAAUUUAUGUGUUAGCCGAGUCAAAUGAAUAUAAACUAUAAAUUAAAAAUUAAGAAUAAACUGUGGUAUUUGUGAAUAUUCAGCUGUUUGGAACAUUAUUAGAACUCCUCUGUUUAUAAUAUGCCGAUACAUUAUACUAGAAUUUUGGUCUGCAGAGUAAAUUUGUUUAUAGUAUACUUAAAUUCAUUGGAAAAUUAACUUGAGAAAUAAAAAUUCUAGUGUAAUUAUUAAAAUAUACAAAAUGCUGAUAAACUGCAAGUAAAUACUUUCCCUAAUAAUUUAAUAAAUAAAAAUAUAAAAUAAUAAAUACAAACCAAAUAAUCAUUUGUUUCAAACAUUGAUUUAUUGAUUAAGCACCACAAGUUGGAUAUGGCUGACAUUGUACCUGUCUGUAGGUUUGUGUGUAUAUAUGAAAAAUGCAUAUAAUAUAUGCUAACAUACAUGUUUUAUAUGUGUACAUAUAAAUAUAUAAAUUUAUACAAAAUGUGAAAUAACUGUCCUUUUUUAAUUAGAUGUGUUUUGUGUGUAUGUGCAUGCUUGUUCGCACAUGUGUAUAUUUUACUAUGUAGAGAGACCUUCAAGUUUCUCUUCUAUUGAUAAAGUCAAGUAAACAAUUUUACCUUGUUUAAUUAAAGUUUAUAAAAACAUUUUUAUUUUUUUAUAAGUUGAAAUUGUUGUUCAGUCUCUAAGUUGUGUCUGACUCUUUGUGGCCUGAUGGACUGCAGUACGCCCGGCUUCCCUGUCCUUUAAUGUCUUCCAGAGUUUGCUCAAACUCAUGUCCAUCAAGUUGAUGAUGCCAUCCAACCAUCUCAUCCUCUGUCACCCUCUUCUCCUCCUACCUUCAAUCUUUCCCAGCAUCAGGAUCUUUUCUAGUGUGUUAGCUCUUCACAUCAGGUGGCCAGAGUAUUGGUGCUUCAGCAUCAGUCCUUCCAGUGAAUAUUCAGUGUUGAUUUCCUCUAUGAUUGACUGGUUUGAUUUCCCUGCUGCCCAAGGGACUCUCAUGGGUCUUCUCCAGCAGCACAAUUUGAAAGCAUCAAUUCUAUCGAAGUCAGCCUUCUUUCUAGUUAGUCCAACUCUCUCAUCAUACACAACUACUGGAAAAACCACAGCAUUGACUAUAUGGACCUUUGUCAGCAAAGUGAUAUCUCUGCUUUUUAAUAUGCUGUCUAGGUUUGUCAUGGGAGAAGGCAAUGGCACCCCACUACAGUACUGUUGCCCGGAAAAUCCCAUGGAUGGAGGAGCCUGGUAGGCUGUAGUCCAUGGGGUCGCUAAGAGUCGGACACGACUGAGCGACUUCACUUUGACUUUCACUAGGUUUGUCAUACCUUCCUUUCUAAGGAACAAGCAUCUUUUAAUUUCAUGGUUGUAGUCACAGUCUGCAGUGAUUUUGAAGCCCAAGAAAAUAGUAUCCAUCACUUUCUACUUUUUCUCCUCCUAUUUGCUAUGGAGUAAUGGGACUGGAUGCCAUGACCAUAGUUUUCUGAAAGCUGAGUUUUAAGCCAGCUUUUUCACUCUUGUCUUUCACCCUCACCAAGAGGCUGUUUAUUUCCUCUUUGCUUUCUGCCACUAGAGUGGUAUUAUCUGCAUAUCUGAGAUUGUUGAUAUUUCUCCCUGCAAUCUUGAUUCUAGCCUGUGUUUCAUCCUGCCCAGCAUUUCGCAUGAUGUACUCUGGAUAUAAGUUAAAUAAACAGAGUGACAAUUUGCAGCCUUGUUGUACUCCUUUCCCAAUUUUGAACCAGUCUGUUAUUACAUGUCCGGUUCCAAUGGUUGCUUCUUCAUUUGCAUACAGGCUUCUUAGGAGACAGUGGUCAUGUAUGGAUGUGAGUUGGACUGUGAAGAAAGCUGAGCACCGAAGAAAUGAUGCUUUUGCACUGUGGUGUUGGAGAAGACUCUUGAGAGUCCCUUGGACUGAAAGGAGAUCCAACCAGUCCAUUCUAAAGGAGAUCAGUCCUGGGUGUUCAUUGGAAGGACUGAUGCUGAAACUCCAGUACUUUGGCCACCUCAUGUGAAGAGUUGACUCAUUGGAAAAGACUCUGAUGCUGGGAUGGAUUGAGAGAAGAAGGAGAAGGGGACGACAGAGGAUGAGAUGGCUGGAUUGCAUCACCGACUCAAUGCACAUGGGUUUGGGUGAACUCUGGGAGUUGGUGAUGGACAGGGAGGCCUGGCGUGCUGUGAUUUAUGGGGUCACAAAGAGUCGGAGACCACUGAAUGACUGAUAUGAACUGAACAUGUAUGUUUCAAUUCUACUACAUCAGUUUGUCCCACCCUCUCCUUUCCACACUGUGUCAGUAAGUCAUCGUAUGCUAGAAACCAAGACAACAUUGUAAAGCAGUUAUCCUCCAAUUAAAAAUAAAUUUUAUUUUUUUAAAAUUUUCUUUGCUUUAUUGAUUAACAAGUAAAUUUGCUAUUAUUUUGAUUUAUCUAUAAUUCUUUAUAAACUUAAAUUUGACAUUUAUUCUCUAAUAAGGAACACUGUUUUAAAAAGACAUCAAUAAUUAUAUAUCCUAAAAAAUGUAUAUUACCAUUAGAUAAGAGCAUAAAGGGGUUUCCCUUGUGGCUCAGCUGGUAAAGAAUCCACCUGCUAUGUGGGAAACAUGGGUUUGAUCUCUGGAUUGAGAAGAUCUGCUGGAGAAGGGAACAGCUACCCACUACAGUAUUCUGGCCUGGAGAAUUCCAUGGACUAUAUAGUCCAUGGGUUUGCAAAGAGUCAGACAGGACUGAGCAACUUUAACUUCACAAGAGCAUAAAGCUCUUGAAAGGAAAAAAAAAAAAAAUAGAUGCAGAGAUGCAGAAACAGGUGGCUAAGCUUAGAGUCAGAUACAUGUAGAGAAAGGAACAAGAUGGCAACCUAUAGUGCAUGAAGUCCAGGGAAGAAGAAAACUCUGAAAAAAGGACAACUUUUUUAAAAAAGCCAAUAUGGAAAGGGAUGGAAUUUGGUUACUAGAUGUCCUGGAUAGCCUGGCUGUUGCGGUAAAGCUUUCCAUAUAGCACAGCAUGGCACAAUGACUCUAAAAAUGCUAAACAUUGAAAAAUUAUUUUACAAGAUAUGGCUCUGGGCAGACAGGGUAUACUUGCAACCUAUUAAGUAGCUAAAAUUCCUUAAAUAAAAAGUAGAAAUGAACCUUCUGCCCCCCCCCCCAUGCUAAAAAACAAAAACUGAAAAAAAGAAAAAAACAAACCCAAAGACUCCAAAUAAGCCAGUAUAUUGAUUAAAGAGGUUCCUCUUUUAGUAAUUGUUAAGGAUCUAGUUUUGGAAAAUUGGGAACAAAAGAUAGAUUACAGGUACAAUAUUUGGAUAUUUAUGGAAGAAGUAGAUAGAAAUUAUCUUUAAUAAUAAAUUGGAGAGGUGCUAUUUCUUUUGCUGCUAAUAGUGCUAAUUUAUACAAAGAAGUGCUUGUAUGCUAUACCUCCAGAGUAAAAAUCCUGUCCCCAAAAUCCCAGUUGCUUAACCCAACAAAGAUUUAUUUCUUGGUCUCAUAACAUGUAUAUCUUGGGUCAGUGGGGCCUUUGCUAUAUUUAGUGACUCAGAUAUACAGGAUGGGAAGGCUUCAUAUAUUGAACCUGUUCCAUCUGAGAUAUGAGGCCCCUGUGGCUUCCGGGGAUUCGUGUUUUACCAGUAAGACAUUUUGACCAAAGGACACACUAUUUUUACACACACUUUAUUGGCCAGAGCUAGAUAUUUGAUCCUGUAGGUA